GAGUUUGAUCCUGGCUCAGAAUGAACGCUGGCGGCAGGCCUAACACAUGCAAGUCGAACGGAGUUAUAUUGUAGCUUGCUAUGGUAUAACUUAGUGGCAGACGGGUGAGUAAUGUAUAGGAAUCUACCUAGUAGUACGGAAUAAUUGUUGGAAACGGCAACUAAUACCGUAUACGCCCUACGGGGGAAAAAUUUAUUGCUAUUAGAUGAGCCUAUAUUAGAUUAGUUAGUUGGUGAGGUAAAGGCUUACCAAGACAAUGAUCUAUAGCUGAUCUGAGAGGAUGAUCAGCCACACUGGAACUGAGAUACGGUCCAGACUCCUACGGGAGGCAGCAGUGGGGAAUAUUGGACAAUGGGCGAAAGCCUGAUCCAGCCAUGCCGCAUGAGUGAAGAAGGCCUUCGGGUUGUAAAGCUCUUUUAGUGAGGAAGAUAAUGACGGUACUCACAGAAGAAGUCCUGGCUAACUCCGUGCCAGCAGCCGCGGUAAUACGGAGAGGGCUAGCGUUGUUCGGAAUCAUUGGGCGUAAAGGGCGCGUAGGCGGGUUAGUAAGUUAAAAGUGAAAUCCCAAGGCUCAACCUUGGAACUGCUUUUAAAACUGCUAGUCUAGAGAUUGAAAGAGGAUAGAGGAAUUCCUAGUGUAGAGAUGAAAUUCGUAAAUAUUAGGAGGAACACCAGUGGCGAAAGGCGUCUAUCUGGUUCAAAUCUGACGCUGAGGCGCGAAGGC
RNAcentral lists this ribosomal RNA (724 nucleotides) under uncultured Hyphomicrobiales bacterium. RNAcentral's name for it is "bacterial SSU rRNA". It matches the Rfam family "Bacterial small subunit ribosomal RNA", at positions 9 to 760 of the family's 1533-position model. The record is from RNAcentral. Lineage: Bacteria; Pseudomonadati; Pseudomonadota; Alphaproteobacteria; Hyphomicrobiales.